CCUACGGGGGGCUGCAGUGAGGAAUAUUGGUCAAUGGGCGCAAGCCUGAACCAGCCAUCCCGCGUGAAGGAAGAAUGCGCUAUGCGUUGUAAACUUCUUUUCCAGGGGAAUAAAAUUUCGUACGUGUACGGGACUGAAGGUACUCUGGGAAUAAGCAUCGGCUAACUCCGUGCCAGCAGCCGCGGUAAUACGGAGGAUGCGAGCGUUAUCCGGAUUUAUUGGGUUUAAAGGGUAAAUAGACGUCAGUGUAUAAAGCCUUCAGCUUAACUGGAGACUUGCCAUUGAUACUGUUAUGCUUGAGUAUAGUUAAGGUAGGCGGAAGGUGUAAUGUAGCGGUGAAAUGCUUAGAGAGUACACAGAACACCAAUUGCGAAGGCAGCUUACUGAGCUAUAACUGACGCUGAUGCACGAAAGCGUGGGGAGCGAACAGGAUUAGAUACCCCUGUAGUC
Molecule: ribosomal RNA, 450 nt
Filed under: uncultured bacterium
Lineage: Bacteria
Description: partial 16S ribosomal RNA
Rfam family: Bacterial small subunit ribosomal RNA
Source: RNAcentral